This 429-nucleotide ribosomal RNA is filed under the name Chloroflexota bacterium. RNAcentral describes it as "Chloroflexi bacterium partial 16S ribosomal RNA". It matches the Rfam family "Bacterial small subunit ribosomal RNA", at positions 355 to 776 of the family's 1533-position model. The record is from RNAcentral. Lineage: Bacteria; Bacillati; Chloroflexota.
UGGGGAAUAUUGCACAAUGGGCGCAAGCCUGAUGCAGCCAUGCCGCGUGUAUGAAGAAGGCCUUCGGGUCGUAAAGUACUUUCAGCGGGGAGGAAGGGAGUAAAGUUAAUACCUUUGCUCAUUGACGUUACCCGCAGAAGAAGCACCGGCUAACUCCGUGCCAGCAGCCGCGGUAAUACGGAGGGUGCAAGCGUUAAUCGGAAUUACUGGGCGUAAAGCGCACGCAGGCGGUUUGUUAAGUCAGAUGUGAAAUCCCCGGGCUCAACCUGGGAACUGCAUCUGAUACUGGCAAGCUUGAGUCUCGUAGAGGGGGGUAGAAUUCCAGGUGUAGCGAUGAAAUGCGUGGAGAUCUGGAGGAAUACCGGUGGCGAAGGCGGCCCCCUGGACGAAGACUGACGCUCAGGUGCGAAAGCGUGGGGAGCAAACAGG